Molecule: transfer RNA, 66 nt
Filed under: Anisopteromalus calandrae
Lineage: Eukaryota; Metazoa; Arthropoda; Insecta; Hymenoptera; Pteromalidae
Description: tRNA-Ala
Source: RNAcentral
AGAAAUAUAGUUAAAUAGAUAAUAUUUAUUUUGCUAAUAAAAGUUAAUUAAUAAAAUUUAUUUUUA